RNAcentral lists this ribosomal RNA (431 nucleotides) under uncultured bacterium. Its description in RNAcentral is "partial 16S ribosomal RNA". It matches the Rfam family "Bacterial small subunit ribosomal RNA", at positions 29 to 507 of the family's 1533-position model. The record is from RNAcentral.
AACGAACGCUGGCGGCAGGCUUAACACAUGCAAGUCGAACGCGCCGCUCGGGUAGAGGCGCGCAGGGGAGUGACACGUGGGAACAUACGCUUAUCUGCUCGGUAUCACCGGGAAAAUGGAAUUAAUAUCGAAGGUGCCCUUUUGGGGAAAGAUUUAUCGGAUAAGGAUCGGCCCGCGUUGGAUUAGCUAGUUGGUGGGGUAAAGGCCUACCAAGGCGACGAUCCAUAGCUGGUCUGAGAGGAUGAUCAGCCACACUGGGACUGAGACACGGCCCAGACUCCUACGGGAGGCAGCAGUGGGGAAUAUUGGACAAUGGGCGCAAGCCUGAUCCAGCCAUGCCGCGUGAGUGAUGAAGGCCUUAGGGUUGUAAAGCUCUUUCACCCGAGAUGAUAAUGACGGUACCGGGAGAAGAAGCCCCGGCUAACUCCGUG